AUUCCCUAGUACGGCGAGUGAGCGGGAAGAGCUCAAAUUUGAAAUCUGGUGGCCUCAGGUCAUCCGAGUUGUAAUCUAUAGAAGUGUUUUCCGUGCUGGCUCAUGUACAAGUCCCUUGGAACAGGGCGUCAUAGAGGGUGAGAAUCCCGUCCUUGACAUGAACUACCAGUGCUCUGUGAUACAUUUUCAACGAGUCGAGUUGUUUGGGAAUGCAGCUCAAAAUGGGUGGUAAAUUCCAUCUAAAGCUAAAUAUUGGCGAGAGACCGAUAGCGAACAAGUACCGUGAGGGAAAGAUGAAAAGCACUUUGGAAAGAGAGUUAAACAGUAUGUGAAAUUGUUGAAAGGGAAACGAUUGAAGUCAGUCGUGCUCUUUGGAUUCAGCCGGUUCUGCCGGUGUACUUCCUUUGAGUGGGGUCAACAUCAGUUUUGAUCGCUGGAUAAAGGCUGGAGGAACGUAGUACCCUCGGGUAAACUUAUAGCCUCCUGUCACAUACAGUGGUUGGGACUGAGGAACGCAGCACGCCUUUAUGGCCGGGAUUCGUCCACGUACGUGCUUAGGAUGUUGACAUAAUGGCUUUAAACGACCCGUCUUGAAACACGGACCA
RNAcentral lists this ribosomal RNA (605 nucleotides) under Filobasidium magnum. RNAcentral describes it as "eukaryotic LSU rRNA". It matches the Rfam family "Eukaryotic large subunit ribosomal RNA", at positions 74 to 668 of the family's 3401-position model. The record is from RNAcentral. Lineage: Eukaryota; Fungi; Basidiomycota; Tremellomycetes; Filobasidiales; Filobasidiaceae.